GAGUUUGAUCGUGGCUCAGAUUGAACGCUGGCGGCAUGCCUUACACAUGCAAGUCGAACGGCAGCACGGGAGCUUGCUCCUGGUGGCGAGUGGCGAACGGGUGAGUAAUGCAUCGGAACGUAUCCUGGAGUGGGGGAUAACGUAGCGAAAGUUACGCUAAUACCGCAUAUUCUGUGAGCAGGAAAGCGGGGGACCUUCGGGCCUCGCGCUCUUGGAGCGGCCGAUGUCGGAUUA
This 234-nucleotide ribosomal RNA is filed under the name bacterium enrichment culture clone ALO1_GLFRUDD03GB68W. RNAcentral describes it as "partial 16S ribosomal RNA". It matches the Rfam family "Bacterial small subunit ribosomal RNA", at positions 9 to 243 of the family's 1533-position model. The record is from RNAcentral.